CAAAAUUCUAUAUUUCACCCGUGUGUGUACACUGCCGUAGAGUUUGGUGUAACCCUGCAAUGGCAGGGGAAGCUUCUAUACAGGAAAUUGAUUAUUAAUUUAAUGUAAAAACUUUAUAAAAUAAAAUGUACUCUCUCCAGCAUGUCUGUCAGCCCUGUCGAAGUGCACCCUCCUACUGAACUUCAAGAGCUGCAAUGGAGGCAAAAUCCUGCUUUCUAUUGACUCAGUGUGUUGAGAGCUAUCUUCUUUCUAUAAAUCAUUCACAGAAACUGCGUGGAACUGCAAGUGGAAGUGUUUUUUUCUUUCUGAGAUGGAUUUAAAUGCUGCUACUAAGUGUUUCAUCCUCAUUAGAUGAUUCUAAACACUCCCAUGGGUUUGAAUAGAAAUAAUCCUCUUCUUUGGGUCGGUCUGGAAUAACCAACCUCUUGGUUGGGUUGCCCAUACGUUCAGCAUGAGCAUGCUUAACUGCAUUAGAGAACUCAUCCCAUGUCAAUGAUCCAGCAGUAUGUUGGUCUAUCAAAUCCACUAAAAGCUUUCUGUCCAACAAGAUGGUUUUCUUGUAGCCAAGAUAUCUGCGAUGUCCUUCAACAACUUUGGCCAUGUUUCCAUCAUACGUAGGAACAAAAA
This 627-nucleotide unclassified non-coding RNA is filed under the name Hevea brasiliensis (rubber tree). The record is from RNAcentral. Lineage: Eukaryota; Viridiplantae; Streptophyta; Magnoliopsida; Malpighiales; Euphorbiaceae.